Molecule: ribosomal RNA, 773 nt
Filed under: uncultured Streptococcus sp.
Lineage: Bacteria; Bacillati; Bacillota; Bacilli; Lactobacillales; Streptococcaceae
Description: bacterial SSU rRNA
Rfam family: Bacterial small subunit ribosomal RNA
Source: RNAcentral
GACGAACGCUGGCGGCGUGCCUAAUACAUGCAAGUAGAACGCACAGUUUAUACCGUAGCUUGCUACACCAUAGACUGUGAGUUGCGAACGGGUGAGUAACGCGUAGGUAACCUGCCUGGUAGCGGGGGAUAACUAUUGGAAACGAUAGCUAAUACCGCAUAAUAUUAAUUAUUGCAUGAUAAUUGAUUGAAAGAUGCAACUGCAUCACUACCAGAUGGACCUGCGUUGUAUUAGCUAGUAGGUGAGGUAACGGCUCACCUAGGCGACGAUACAUAGCCGACCUGAGAGGGUGAUCGGCCACACUGGGACUGGGACACGGCCCAGACUCCUACGGGAGGCAGCAGUAGGGAAUCUUCGGCAAUGGACGAAAGUCUGACCGAGCAACGCCGCGUGAGUGAAGAAGGUUUUCGGAUCGUAAAGCUCUGUUGUAAGAGAAGAACGGGUGUGAGAGUGGAAAGUUCACACUGUGACGGUAUCUUACCAGAAAGGGACGGCUAACUACGUGCCAGCAGCCGCGGUAAUACGUAGGUCCCGAGCGUUGUCCGGAUUUAUUGGGCGUAAAGCGAGCGCAGGCGGUUAGAUAAGUCUGAAGUUAAAGGCUGUGGCUUAACCAUAGUACGCUUUGGAAACUGUUUAACUUGAGUGCAGAAGGGGAGAGUGGAAUUCCAUGUGUAGCGGUGAAAUGCGUAGAUAUAUGGAGGAACACCGGUGGCGAAAGCGGCUCUCUGGUCUGUAACUGACGCUGAGGCUCGAAAGCGUGGGGAGCGAACAGG